This is a long non-coding RNA of Lathyrus oleraceus (garden pea), 878 nucleotides long. RefSeq lists it as uncharacterized. NCBI's taxonomy places the organism in Eukaryota, Viridiplantae, Streptophyta, Magnoliopsida, Fabales, Fabaceae. The record is from RefSeq and is a predicted model, not a curated record. The transcript has 2 exons.
GUAGAGCCUUUUGGGCUUAGUGUUGUGAAGCCCAACGCGCAGGGGGGCAAGGGAUUGAGGGUGAUCAGAUUCCCUCAUUCCAUUCUACAAUCAGCCAAUACACAUUCCUCCCUCUCACACAACUCAUUGGAAAUCACUCCGCCGCACCAGAGGUGGCGGAGCAGCCCAGAAAUGCACCAUAUUACCACCAUUAAAAUGCUCUCAACCUCCUCUCUCUCUCUCUCUCUCUCUCUCUCUCUCUCUCUCUCUCUCUCUUCCUAUCACCCUCAUUUCAUUUGAAAUCCACUGAAACUUCUAAUUCAAACCAAAAACAUCAAGAACCCUAAAAUACUCAAACCUAAAUUAAAUGCAAUAGGAGGGGAAUCAAAGCGUGAGACCUUAUCGCUUUGAUUCCCGUCUAAAACAUCUACAUUCUGGUAACACACUUGAGGAAAAAACAAAGGACGAAGUGGAAGAUCCUACCUACAGGACGAAGGCUUGUCCUUGGAAUUGUUGAAAUUGUUUGAAGGAGAUGAAGAUGAGAAGAUCAGAGAUAUCAACAGGGUUUCGGUGAAUUUGAUAGGGUGGACACACUUGGCUUGGCAUGGCAUCAUGAAGGUGUGGCAUGGCAUAAUGCACAUGAAGAUGUCUUUUUUGGAAUGCAUUAAGAACAUGAAGAAUAACAUGGUGAAUCAUGAGGAUGAAGAGAAAAAAUGGGCUUAGGAUAGUCAGUUUGACUUUGGUCAACUAUUUGACCAAAAGUCAACCUUAGGUCAAAAAUGGACCUUAGGUCAAAAAUGGCUUUUUUUUGUAUAAUUUGUACUUUGGAUUUUUGUAAUGAAAUUUGGUGUUUGUAAUGAGAUUCUUGGUCUUUGAAUGUAAGACAACUUGUUUUCCAA